This 76-nucleotide transfer RNA is filed under the name Candidatus Arthromitus sp. SFB-rat-Yit. RNAcentral's name for it is "tRNA-Val (TAC) (tRNA-Val-TAC-2-1)". It matches the Rfam family "tRNA". From Rfam's summary of the family: Transfer RNA (tRNA) molecules are approximately 80 nucleotides in length. Their secondary structure includes four short double-helical elements and three loops (D, anti-codon, and T loops). The record is from RNAcentral. Lineage: Bacteria; Bacillati; Bacillota; Clostridia; Eubacteriales; Clostridiaceae.
GGGCGCAUAGCUCAGCUGGGAGAGCAUCUGCCUUACAAGCAGGAGGUCACAGGUUCAAUCCCUGUUGUGCCCACCA